This 468-nucleotide ribosomal RNA is filed under the name uncultured bacterium. Its description in RNAcentral is "partial 16S ribosomal RNA". It matches the Rfam family "Bacterial small subunit ribosomal RNA", at positions 28 to 507 of the family's 1533-position model. The record is from RNAcentral.
GACGAACGCUGGCGGCGUGCUUAACACAUGCAAGUCGAACGGAAAGGCCCCUGUUUUGUGGGUGCCCCGGGGGGGGACGGGGUGGUUAACCCCAGGGUAUCCAGCCUUAAACUUUGGGAUAAUUUCAGGAAAUGGGGGCUAAUCCCGGAUAGGCGCUCCGCCUGCCCGGUGGGGCUGGGAAGGUUUCGCGGGUUGGGAAUGGAAUCGCGGCUUAUCAGCUUGUUGGUGGGGUAGUGUAUUACCAAGGCUUUGACGGGUAGCCGGCCUGAGAGGGUGACCGGCUAGAUCGGGACUGGGGUAGGCCCCAGACGUCUACGGGAGGCAGCGGGCGGGUACAUUGCACCAUGGGCGGAAGCCUGAUGCAGCAACGCCGCGUGCGGGAUGACGGAUGCCGGGUUGUAACCCGUCUCCGCCUGUGACGAAGUGUGAGUGACGGUAAUGGGUAAAGAAGCAACGGCUAACUACGUG